UACGAAGGGGGCUAGCGUUGCUCGGAAUCACUGGGCGUAAAGGGUGCGUAGGCGGGUCUUUAAGUCAGGGGUGAAAUCCUGGAGCUCAACUCCAGAACUGCCCUUGAUACUGAAGGUCUUGAGUUCGGGAGAGGUGAGUGGAACUGCGAGUGUAGAGGUGAAAUUCGUAGAUAUUCGCAAGAACACCAGUGGCGAGGGCGGCUCACUGGCCCGAUACUGACGCUGAUGCACGAAAGCGUGGGGAGCAAACAGG
This 253-nucleotide ribosomal RNA is filed under the name uncultured bacterium. Its description in RNAcentral is "partial 16S ribosomal RNA". It matches the Rfam family "Bacterial small subunit ribosomal RNA", at positions 524 to 776 of the family's 1533-position model. The record is from RNAcentral.